UCGCUUUAUUUAAGAAAAGCA
Molecule: non-coding RNA, 21 nt
Filed under: Caenorhabditis elegans
Lineage: Eukaryota; Metazoa; Nematoda; Chromadorea; Rhabditida; Rhabditidae
Source: RNAcentral